Schistosoma haematobium is the source of this 46-nucleotide non-coding RNA. Lineage: Eukaryota; Metazoa; Platyhelminthes; Trematoda; Strigeidida; Schistosomatidae. The record is from Rfam.
ACCUUGCUGAUGAGUGCCAGAAUAGCACGAAACCUAGGUCCAUGGU